UACGAUGGGGGCGAGCGUUGUUCGGAUUUACUGGGCGUAAAGGGCGCGCAGGCGGCGGAUCAAGUCAGAUGUGAAAGCCCCGGGCUUAACCUGGGAACUGCAUUUGGGACUGGUUUGCUAGAGAUCGGGAGAGGAGAGUGGAAUUCCCAGUGUAGAGGUGAAAUUCGUAGAUAUUGGGAAGAACACCGGUGGCGAAGGCGGCUCUCUGGACCGAUACUGACGCUGAGGCGCGAAAGCGUGGGGAGCAAACAGG
Molecule: ribosomal RNA, 253 nt
Filed under: uncultured bacterium
Lineage: Bacteria
Description: partial 16S ribosomal RNA
Rfam family: Bacterial small subunit ribosomal RNA
Source: RNAcentral